GGGACGCCCGGGGCUUCAGCCGAUCCCUCGCUUUUUAGAGAAGCCGUGAGGAAAAAGGAUUUCUCUCUGCACGGGGUUAGCGAAGAGCUGCAGCCUACAGAGAGGAAGAAGAGAACCCCCGAUCUCCACCCAACCGCAACCCCAACCCUAAACCCGAAACUAACCCUACCCGUUGUGGCGCGCGGAAGAAGAGCGAAGGGGAGAAGAGGAAGAAACCCUAGAAAAGUCCCUGAUUCUAGGGUUUCCUCCAUCGGUAGAAACCCUAAUUCGAAGUUCUUAUCGUUGUUGUUUUGAUUUUAUUCGUUUUUUAAAUCGUUCGAGUUAUUUAUCCCGAUUCGCGACAUGGCGAAGGGGGAGGAGCAUUCUCGCAGGAAGCACCGGCGAUCAGGUGAUGGCGGCGAGGAUAGUGAAAGUGAUUCUAAGCGGCGGAAGCACCACAGUCGGAGCAGCCGACAUCACCAUCACCGCCACCGGAGCAAGCACAGGUCCGACGAGCAAGAAGAGACGGGCGAUCGAAACGUCGAUCGCCCGGUCGCGGUUGCUCGCGUGGACGACGAGAUGGAGGAGGGUGAGAUACUUGAAGAUGAGGAUGUUGUAGAGGUGAAGGGGAAUUCAGAGGCGGAGUCCGGGGAGAUCAAGCUGCAGGAAGCCGUGGAAGAUGCCUCUAGCCUGAAGUCUUCUGCCGAGGAGAUGCUUCUUUAUGGGGAGAGGAAUGCAUCUGCCGGACAGGACAUGCAUGUUAGCAAGGAAAACAAUCCACUUGUUGAAGGAGCUAAGGGGAUUUUAAUGCAUCUUCCUACAGCUGAUUUACUGAUCAUAUCUCAAGGAGACAAUAAUGUUUUAGAGGAUAGUUGUCUUGACAGAGGGAGCUUAGAUGAAAAUACGGCAGGUAGAAAUAAAGAGAGAAACAAAAGUGACAUUGCACACAAAAAAUCCGGUUCCAAUGGGAUUUCUGCAAAUGGAAGUUCUGCUGUUACAAAUAAAAUCGCUCCAUCUUCACUACACAGGGCCUUGCCAGGGGAGUCAAGUCCUCAUUUUAUUUUUGGACAUGAAGAUGCUUCUUCAGGCAAAUAUGACAAAGGAAGAAGACAGGAACCCUUGAAUAAUUCGCCAAGUGCUCAUGCUAGUUCUGGUGGAGACUGUGAGUCUAACAAGAGUUGUCUGCAAGGAAAUGGUUCCAGGCGUGCUGGCUUGGAUGUUGAAGUCGCAGUGCACGAAAUGGAUGUUGACGAAUCCCUCUCUCCAAUUCCCAGAGAUACAGUUUCAGCAAAGCACAAAAGUAGAGAUCAUUAUUUCAGCAAAAGUGAGCAUUCCGGCUAUCCGACAAGCAGCACAGAAGGUAGUGACGUAAAGAUUAGUUCUGGCUCCAAAGAACUUAAAGCGAAUGGUUCAGAAAGUAAGAAGAGAUCAUUAUCACCAGAAUCUCCAACUGACAAAUAUGGGAGAAGGAUCCGAUCUCCAUCUGAUGUUGCACAUGGCAGAAAUAAGUCACCAUCUUACAGUCUUAGAAGGGAAAAGGCGUCCCAGUCCAUGGAUAAUUUGCGUGACAAACAUUCUACGCAGGUCUCAGAGAUAAACAUAUCUAAAGACAAGGAUCGAGCAAGACACUCUCAUUAUAGGGAAGAGAAAACAAAUUUAAUGGACCUUGGCAAGUCUUCUUGUCGCCAAAAGCUUAGAGAGGAUUAUCUUGACAGCAAGAAUCAUUAUGUAGAUUUAGACAAAGAGCAUGGACACAAUAGAGGUACCAGCAAGGAUAGAUCUCGAAAUAGUGUUUCCAGCAGACAUGGAGAAAGGGAUGAGAGACGUGACACGUGGGAUAAAGACCUGGAAAAGGAUAGGGACAGAGAAAGGAAUAGGCACAGUUCUCGAGAUAGAGGCCGGGAAAGAGACACUGAGAGGGCAAGUCACAGGGAUAGGGAUAGGGAAAGUGAUAGGGUAACUGUAAGGGACAGGGAUAGGGAGAGCAACAGGCACCAUUUUCGCAGUAGGGAUAGGGAAGAGGACGGAGUUAAGGAAAGUGACAGGCAUGGUUCUCAAGAUAGGCAAAGAGACCGAGACAAGGGAAGGAACAGGCACGAUUCCAGGGAAAGGUCCAGGGAGUUGGAUUUAGCAAGGGAACGAGAUAAAGAGAAGAGCCGAUACAGUUCUCGCAGUAGGGACGGAGGGAGGCAAAUGGACAGAAAUGGGGAUAGGGACUGGGAGAAGGAUCAACACGUGGUUAAGGAUAGAGAACGAGAUGGGGAUGCUCCAUCUAAAAAAUACAGGUUUGAUAGCUCAGAAGAUCGCCAUGGUAGGCGAGACAGGCAUUCAAAAUAUGAUGAUAUGGAACAUGGUAAGUACGGUUCAAGAACGAGGGAGUCAGCCAAAGAUCAUAGUGACGUGAAUGAACAUGGCAAAGAUGUUACAACCAGGGAAGAAGAUGAAGAGGAAGGUUUUCAAGAAAGAAUAGCUUUACAGCUGGAGGAACAAGAAGAAGAAGAUAUCGAAAAGAUCAAAGAGGAAAGCAGGAAAAGGAGACAAGCAAUUCUUGAAAAAUACAAGCAGCGACAACCUCAACAAGAUGAGAAGCCAACAAAUGCUAUUGAGAACCACAGCGAUAACUUGUCACAUGCAGAAGAUGAUGCGGCCUUGUCACAUGCAGAAGAUGAUGCGGCCUUGUCACAUGCAGAAGAUGAUGCGGCUGCUGUUCGUGAAGUAUCUUCUGGUGAUGGACAUGAUUCCUCCAGCCUUCCUGUUGCUGUUCCAGCGUUUUCUGUUGACAAACUGCCAGUGCAGAAUGGAAAUUUGAAUUCAGAUGGGCCAUCUGGUGAGAAAGGAUUGGGUGAUGGAUCUCCAAAGAGUGAGAAGUUAGAGGAUAUGUUCUGCGACGACAUCUUUGGAGAGUCUCCUGCUGGUUUCCGGAAACUGGGAAGGGGUGAUGGUCUGCAAGUUGAUAAAAGUGGGCUUCAUGACAAUUGGGACGAUCCAGAGGGCUAUUACAAUUACCGAAUAGGAGAAGUGCUUGAUGGCCGAUAUGAAAUUACCGCUGGGCAUGGAAAAGGUGUUUUUUCAACUGUGGUUCGUGCUAAGGAUCUCAAAGCUGGGAAAGGAGAUCUUGAGGAAAUCGCUGUAAAAAUUAUACGUAACAAUGAGACAAUGUACAAGGCUGGUAUGGAAGAGGUCAACAUCUUGAAUAAGCUUGUUGGUGCUGAUCCUGAAGAUAGACGACACUGUGUUAGGUUUUUAUCAAGUUUCAAAUAUCGUAACCAUCUUUGUUUGGUUUUUGAAUCUCUUCAUAUGAAUCUUCGUGAGGUUCUGAAGAAGUUUGGUCGCAAUAUUGGCCUUAAACUAACAGCUGUGAGGGCAUACGCGAAGCAGCUUUUCAUUGCAUUGAAGCAUCUUAAGAAUUGUGGCGUUUUACACUGUGAUAUAAAACCUGACAAUAUGUUGGUGAAUGAGGCCAAAAAUGUGCUGAAACUUUGCGAUUUUGGUAAUGCUAUGUUUGCUGGGAAGAAUGAGAUUACACCAUAUCUAGUUAGCCGCUUUUAUCGAGCCCCCGAAAUCAUUCUUGGCUUGCCGUAUGACCAUGCUUUGGACAUAUGGUCAAUUGGCUGCUGUUUGUACGAGCUAUAUACAGGAAAGGUCCUCUUCCCUGGACCAUCAAACAAUGACAUGCUUCGGCUUCAUAUGGAAUUAAAAGGUCCAUUUCCUAAAAAGAUGCUCAGGAAGGGAGCCUUUACAGAUCAUCAUUUUGAUCAGGAUCUGAAUUUCCAUGCCACUGAAGAAGACCCUGUGACAAAGAAGGCUGUGAAGCGACUGCUUGUCAACAUUAAGGCAAAGGAUUUUAGUAGUCUUAUUUCAAGCUAUCCUGGUGAGGAUCCCAAGAUGCUGGCCAAUUUCAAAGAUCUGCUUGAUAGAAUUUUUGUGCUCGAUCCGGAGAAAAGAUUGACAGUAUCUCAAGCACUGAGUCAUCCAUUCAUUACGGGCAAGUGAAUAAAGAUGCUGAUAUUUCUGAUCCAGAACUGCUGUUGAGUUAGCUAUGCAUUUGAAUCUUUUAUUCAGCCAUCUGAUCAUUGGGCAUUUGCUUGUCUCUAUCUGUGUCACUUGGACCAAGUGCAAGCAGUGCAGACUUCUUGCUGAUCGUGAGCUUAACACAGCCACUCUGGAGAGCUCUCUUACUUGGCGAGUCUUUUCAGUCGAAUAUAUUCUGUUUCUAUUGGCUUAUGGCAGUUCUCUGAGGCAAAUAUAACAAUGGUUUUGAUGGUUGAAGACAGCAGAAAGAAGGGCAGAUGAUUUCUGGUGUCUUUUAUGCACGUUGUCUGGACAGUUUUCUUGUCUUCAUGCAUAUAUUUACACAGAAAAAGGAGGGGUUGGGGGUGCUCAAAGUCCACCCCAGCCAUCCUGAAAGCCAGUAGGAUCUCACAUUCAGCCAUUAUCUCUCAACACCGAGCGUGUUGACCGAAGUGUAAUGCCCACGGAAAUUGAACCUGAGAUGCAGUCCACGUGUUGGACCUACACGCAGGUUGGUGUGAGAGAGGAGAGAGCUGGUGCAGCCAAAACUUAGAAAUACUCCGACUGGAUCUACCAUUUUGCGCACUUAGUUUUAAUACUUUUUCAUGUCAUGGAAAGAUGUUGCCGUGGACCAGGGGAGGCAUUUUAAUCAACGCUUGACCUGUCACAACAGAAGCUUUCGCUGCUUGUGGAACCUUGUGGUCGCUUGGCUAAGAUAUGUUAAUGUAACUGCCAUUUGAUGUCACCUAUUCUCUUGAGGGCCACACAAGAACUUCCAAGCUACCAUGUUUUUAUAUACUUUUACCGUGUAAUCUUAAAACGGCUGAAGUUCGUUUACUUCGCAAUUGUUGACUUCGAAAUGUUUUCCAAUUUGUUGGUCUUGUGUGCAACAAAUUUAUCGACCAGGGCAUCAAUCUAGUUUGUUGAUUUUUUUUGUACGUUCACCUGUGUUUGAGCAGCGUUUCUACGGCUUGUAUGUGCUUGAACCUGAAUAAGUUUGUGAACUUUGGGUUUCUAUGUGCCUCAUAUCAUGUAAUGGACAAGUAAAUUUCUCAGUUCUUUU
Molecule: RNA transcript, 5053 nt
Organism: Nymphaea colorata (pocket water lily)
Lineage: Eukaryota; Viridiplantae; Streptophyta; Magnoliopsida; Nymphaeales; Nymphaeaceae
Exons: 15
Source: RefSeq, a predicted model, not a curated record